RNAcentral lists this ribosomal RNA (3552 nucleotides) under Triticum aestivum (bread wheat). RNAcentral's name for it is "partial small subunit ribosomal RNA". The record is from RNAcentral. Lineage: Eukaryota; Viridiplantae; Streptophyta; Magnoliopsida; Poales; Poaceae.
AUGGCGGAAACUGUUGCCGCCGCCGCUAAGAGCGCGGCAAUUUUUGUGGGGAAGUCAGCGGCACAUGCGGCGAUAGCCUAUCUCAUCAAGAAAGCCCUUGGCCGCCUCUCGGCGGAAGAUGAGGACCUGCGCGGAAGGCUGACGGCGAAGCUGCCGGCCAUCGAAGCGGUCUUCGGCGCGGCCGAUCAGACGCCGGUCCAGGAGGACCCUGUCCUGGGCCCAUGGCUGUGGCAGUUCCGAGAUGCCAUCCAGGAGGCCGAGGAUGCGCUCGGCGAGCUGGAGUUUCUGGAUCUGGAGAGGCAGGCCAAGGACCGGAGAGCCAGGGAUGCCAAAGAUUGGAGAGUGAGGGUAUCCUCCCGCCUCCCUAGCAUCAGCACAGGGCUCCGGCGAUCUCUCAGCGCCGCUUGCGGCGGCGGCUCUACCAAGGGUUUGAAAGGUGCCCUCAAGAGGUUGGAUUUAGUACUUGGCAAUGCAGAUAAAUUCCUCGCAACCAUGAGCCAUCGACUCCAACCUUCUUGUUCUGAUAACCAAGGGCACCAUGGUGAUCUUGCCAGCAGGCGUGAGACAACGAGGGAGUUGACGACGGUUGCCUUCGGCCGGCGGAGCGAAAAGAAUGCGAUAAUUGAAUGGCUGGGGGUUCAAGCUACACGGCAGGUUACAGAUCUGGCAUUGUCCGUGUGCGCAAUUGUUGGCGACGGUGGUAUGGGGAAAACAACCCUGGCGCAGUUUGUCUGCCAAGAUAAGGAAGUGCAGGAUCAUUUUGGUGGUAUGAUCAUCUGGGUGCACAUCUCUAGGCAUUUUGAUCCUAAAGUAUUGGUCCGAAAGAUCAUGGGAUCAAUCAACCGAGACAAAGCUAGCGCCCAGGCUUUCGACCCCCUGCAAUCAGAUCUUAUUAAAGAGCUGCUGACUAAAAGGUUUCUGCUGGUUUUGGAUGAUGCAUGGGAGGAUAUGGUGCAUGAGAGAUGGGAACAAUUUUUAGGCCCAUUAAGAAAUAUGGCCCCAAUGGGAGGCAGGAUCUUGCUCACAACCCGAAUGGCAUCAGUGGCUGAUGCUGUCAAACGUCAAAUCCCUGCUGGAUUUAAAUGUUUGGAGCUGAGGGGUUUAGAUCAGGAAGACACUUUGAUGCUCUUCAAUCAUCAUGCAUAUGGUGACUCGACUCACAGCGAUAAAUCGGACUCAGAACUUCGGUUGAUUGGUGAACAGAUUGCCAGAAAUCUUAGAGGUUGUCCCUUCAUAGCAAAAGUAGUUGGUCAGCAACUGAGAGAUAACACAGAUUAUAGUAAAUGGAAAAACGUCUUAAAUCAAGGUAUCCACCAGUUUGAUGAAAUUGUGCCUAGAAUUAUGGAGAUGCUCAGGUUGAGCUACCAAAAUCUGACUUAUGAAGUGCAGCUUUGCUUUCGGUAUUGCAGCAUAUUUCCUCCUCAUUACAAGUUCAAGGUGGAAGAAGUGAUUGAGAUGUGGGUGAGUUCAGGUUUGAUUUUGCAAAGAGAGAAUGGCCUAAAGAAGCAGGAGGAUAUUGCUAGAGGGCACUUCAAUACUCUGUGCCGAAAAUCAUUUCUUUCAUUGGUACCCCGAGAACUGCAUGCUGAUCCUUCCGAUGAUUACUAUGUCAUGCAUGACUUGAUGUAUGACUUGGCCUGUUUGGUUUCAAGUGAGGAAUGUUCAAGGUUUCGAGUUACUGACCACAACACCAACAUAUUCCCUAAAGUGCGCCACUUAUACAUUGAAGGCGUAAGUUCUAAAAGUAUUGAUAUAAUUUCACGGUCCAAUUACCUACGAACUCUUAUCAUAUCACAUGAGGAAAAUUCCAUUCAGCAAGAGCUUGUGCAUGAUUUGAAGAAAGCUAUAAAAGGCAGAACAAGCUUACGGCUCUUAAAGUUAUGUGGAAAUGGUAUUUUUGGAAUGAACAAGGCUAUUGCUGAACUGAAGCACCUUAGGUACAUCUCUAUGUCUGCUACCGAUGAACCCAAUCUCUGUAACUUAUUUAAACUCUAUCACCUGGAGGUCCUUCGAAUACAGAAGAUAGAGAAAGAAGAAAUAGUGAGCUUUAUCGAUAUAAGUAACCUACCUCACUUGCAGAAACUGCAUCUUCCUAAAAAUGCAUCAUCCAGGAUACCCCACAUUGGAAGUCUGACUACUCUUAGAGAGUUAAAUGGGUUCAGUGUGAAAAAAAAAGAUGGCCACAAAAUAACUGAGCUGAGAGAUUUGAGGAAUCUUCAAAAGGUCAUUGUGCUCGAUGUCCAAAAUGUUAGUGAUUACAAUGAAGCUUCUUCCGCUGAAUUGGAUAAGAAGACAAAUAUGAAGGUGUUAUCUUUUGAAUGGUCUUCUGAUCAGGCUAGAAUUGAUGACCGGAUUCUUAAUAAGCUUGUUCCGGACAGUAAUCUCAAGCAUUUGGUCAUUUCUGGAUAUAACGGCAAUCAACCUCCAAUGUGGAUGGAAAAUCCAUACCUUUCUAAUUUGGUACAUCUGAAGAUUGAUGGAUGCGUGGAAUGGGAUAAACUCCCUCCUCUGGGCAGCCUAUGGACGCUGAAGCAUGUCAUUCUGGAGAACCUCCCAAAAUUGAAGUAUGUUGGUAGGUCAUCCUACCAUUCUGGUGCUUACAGUUACAGUUAUAGGGGAAAAUGGACAAAAGGUCCUGGUUCUGAUGGAUUGCCUCCUCAUCUAAUUACAUUUGUUGUGAAAGAUUGCCCAGACUUGUACGAGCUACCUGACCUGCCUUUCAGCCUGCAGCAUUUGCAGAUAGAUGCCGUUGGAGUGUCUAACCUGCCAACCAUGUGUGAUCACAAGGGAUCAAGAGACGUUUCUGCAGUCGAGGCGCAGCUCUCCACUCUCCAUAUAGGAUCUAGCGAUUUUCUUAUUUCUCUAAAUGGAUGUUUCUUACAAGAGGAACACUACAGAGCUCUCACCUUCUUAAAACUGUUCCGUUGCAGUGAGUUAAGGUCCCUUCCAGUUGCAGCAGAUUUUGGAAGAAUAUCUAAGCUGGAGGGUAUUGAAAUUAUUGAAUGCAACAGUUUGUUGUCCUUGGGUGGGCUAGGAGCCCUUUCUUCACUUACAGAACUGAAAAUACAGCAUUGCGGCAAUCUGGUUACUACUUCAUUGUCAGGUUCCCUGCCAAUAUCAGUGAGAAGUCCCCAUCUGAAACUUGAGACACUGGCAAUUGAUGACCAUCGUUUACUUCUUCUGAGUCCACUAACAAACUUGUGCCUCACUAAAAGGCUUAUCAUAUCAGGCAGGUCAGAAAUGGCCGAGUUGCCUGAGGAAUGGCUGUUGCAGAAUAGUUAUCACCUAGAGCAUAUAGAGAUAAGCAACGCGCAACUGUUGCAAUCUCUGCCUCUGAAGAUGCAUAACAUGCAUGCCCUCCGGAGUCUUUUUCUACAUGACACUCACAUUCUUCAGUCUCUCCCGCUCAUGCCCCCAAACCUCUGGGUCCUCGUCAUCCAUGGUUGCCACACCGAGUUGAAUGAGAAAUGCCAGGUCGGUGGUUCUGAGUGGACGAAGAUAAGUCGGAUCCCUAAUCGUAAGAUAUCUCCCAAGGAAAAUGAUAGACAUUAA